Erpetoichthys calabaricus (reedfish) is the source of this 5898-nucleotide long non-coding RNA. RefSeq lists it as uncharacterized. The transcript has 2 exons. The record is from RefSeq and is a predicted model, not a curated record. Lineage: Eukaryota; Metazoa; Chordata; Cladistia; Polypteriformes; Polypteridae.
UAUAUUACCACUUGCACUGAUUUGCACUGUAUAUGAUCGGUGACAGAGUAAUAUCCAGAGAUUCGUGGAAUUCAUUGUUUUCUGCAAAUGUUAACUGAGUAAUCAGAGUGAGAAAAAAUUACAACUGUUAGCCAUCAGAUACAUAAUUCUACAAGCAGGUAGAGCUUUGGUGAGAUCUAUGCAAGUUAUCACCUGUCCACUCUUUUGACACUACACAAAAUACAAAGGCUAUGAAACAUAAGAAAAAUAUAAACAUAAACAACUAUAAAUUAGGGCUCAGAUUGAAAGGAGCAGUUGCUAAGCCUUUCCUGUCCAAAACUAGUUUUCACCUUUGGCAACAAAAGAGUUUCAGCAUAAUGUAACUUUAUAUGAAUUCUUGGAAGUUGAUUCAUAAAUGAAUCCCGUUUCAAAAAUGUCAGUCUUGUAGGUUUGUUUGAGUAGGGAGAAACACUAAAUAAUUUUUACAAAUGUUCAUCUUCAGCACACGUCUGACUGUAUUGUUAUGGAAAUAUCACUUUAGUAUAGUGACAGAUUUAUUUCAUUAGUAGAACAUGGGCAUUCUGUUGGUUAUAAAAGGUGGUUUUAGGUAUGGUAUCUUAAUUCCACUCUGCCAAACUGUAUUAUUUAAUAACUUUUAUUCGAGAACAUCUAUUUUACAUAGGUGUACAUACAUACUGGAAUUUCCACUGAUUUGUUGUCAUGUUUAUUUAAGUGUGCAAGGAACAUAUACUUUGACUUACUUGUUUAAUAUAUAAUGGAGAUUAUUCAUUGAAUUACCACUAAUACUGUGACACCAUGUUUUGUGGAGACAUUUCAUUAUUAUUAAUAUUUUUCUUCUGUCUGCUAAUUUCAUGUUUUUAAGUGGUAGAGCGGGAGUUUUCUCUUUCAUAAGAAGUCUAUUCAGACAGACCCUGCACAAAGAGAAUAAUCUAGGUAAAAUCAAAUGCCUUUUACAAAAGCUAGAGCACACACUGUGAGAAGCGAUACUCGUUUGUUUCCCUAGGUCUUCUGUUACGUCACUGGCAUGUAGUAAGUGUUGUUGAGCAUUUUCAUAAGGCAGGUGUUGUCAGAGACAAGUACAGUAGCUUGUGAAAGGAGGUAAGGUCCAGACAAUACUGAAUUUGUAAUAACUUCUUAAUACUUGUCAAAUCAAAUGUUUUUGGCAGAACAGUUACACAUUAAACAAGGGACGUUUCUGAGCAGUUUUCACAUUUCCCAGAACAAAAUGAGCUGUGCAAUUAAAAAAUACAAAUAUCCAUCCAUUCAUUUUCUAAAUCCAUUUAGCGUUUAGGGUUCUGUGGCCACAGUCAAUCCUCUAUAAGUGGGCACAAGGCAGGGACCAUCCAGUCCAUCCCAUGGUGCACUCACACAUAGCCACACAAACUAAUACCGACCAGGUGACAUUUGGAAGGUGAUACGAAACUGGAGUAUCAACAGAAAACCCACACAGACAUGGUGAAAACAUGCAAAUUCCACACAGACUGCACCCAGGAGGGAAUUUGAACCUGGGACUCUAGAGCUGUGAAGCUGCAGCACUAAGCACUGCACCACAUGGCUGCCACAGGUAGGUGAUAUUCACUGUAAUGCAUAGUUAUUUACUAUUCUUUCUUUUAAAGCCAUUUACAGUAUUUGUUACUGUUUGAGCAGCAAUUAUGUUCUUCCCCCUGUCUGUGUGGCUUUUCUUCCCUCAUCCCAAACACCACCUGCAUGUUAGGUUAAUUGUUGACCCUAAAAUGGCCCCAUAUGAUCAGUGUUGCCUGUGUCUCGAAUUGACAUUUGGAGGCAGAGCACUAGAAAGCACUCAAAAAGUUAGGCUGCAGAUAAAUGUUGCAAGUUGUAUAAAUGUAGACAUUUUUGUUACCUACAGUGGCAUGCAAAAGUAUUCAGUCCCCUAGAAAGUCAUCAUAAUUUUCUGCAUAACAAAAGAUUUGUACACAUAUUUAUCCAUUCAGUAUUUUUAAUGUGAACUCUUAUGCUGUAACAAUACAUAUCCAAAGCGAAAAUAAACCAUUUUCUGUAGAUAUUUAAGACGAAAAACUCAAUAGUCAGUGUUUGCAUAAGUAUUCAAGCCCUACACAUUAAUACUUUGUUGAGAAUCCUCUUGCUGCAGUAACAGCCUUAAUUAAGUAUGUACCAGUUUUACACAUUGUUCAGGAGCGACUCUUCCGCAUUCUUCUUUGCAGAAUUUAUGGAGAUCCUCUAAGUUGGUGGGAUGGUGACCCACAGACAGCACUUUUCAAAUAGUGCCACAGAUCAGGGCUUUGACUUGGCCAUUCCAAAAUGUUCACUUCUCUGUUUUUGAGCCAUUCCAGUGUCAUGUUUGGCCUUAUGCUUAGGGUCACUGUCAUGCUGAAAGAUGAAUCUUCUCCUGUAUCCAUCCAUUGUCCCUUCAACUCUGACAUGUUUCCCAGUCCCAGCAAAUGAAAAGCAUCCCCAUAGCAUGAUGCUGCCACCACAAUGUUUCACCGUAGGUAUGGUGUUUCUUGAUGCAUGGACGGUGUUAGCUUUAUGCCCCACAUACCUCUUUGAAAUCUGGCUGAAAGGUUCUAUUUUGGGCUCAUCUGACCAUAAAACCUUAUCCCAAAUCUUAACUCGGUCUUUCUCAUGCUUUGUAGCAGAUGCUCACGUGCUUUUAUGUGGAGCUUCUUAAGGGAUGGCUUCUUUAUUGCUGUUUUGUGGAGAGCUCUUGAAAUUGUGGACCCAUCCACCUUCACUCCAUUGUCAGCCAAAGAGCAUUGCAGAUGUCUGAGAGUGAUGGCUGGAUUUUCAGUAGCCUCUAUCGCCAGUCAACGUCUUGCUCUGAUGUUUAGUUUUGAGCGAUGGCCAGUUCUAGUAAGAGUCUGGGUGCUGUGAUGGACCGUCCACUUUCUGAUGAUGGAUCCGAUAGUGCUUAACGGGACAUUCAAACCCUUCAAUAUUUUUUGUAGCCAUUUCCUUCCUUGUACAUUUCAAUGACUUUGUUUCUCACAUCAGCAGAAUGUUCCUUUGACUUCAUUUUUGCAAUGAUUGGCCAACAAAGACUUACAAAGGGUGCUUUUUAUAUCCAGAGAGAUCUAAAGAACUACUAGCAAGUAGUACCUAAUUAUGAUUAAUUAUGGUCAAAUGAAUGACACCUUUGUGUUGUCAUUAAUUUGUUGUUUGUGUAAACCUGGAGCUUCCAAAGCACAGAGGUAUUAAAUACUUAUGCAAACGUUACGUUUUUCUUCUUCAGUUAAAUAUCUGAUUAUGAUUUUGGAAAUACAGUUACAGCGUAAGAGUUAACAUUAAAAAUACUGAAUGGAUAAAUAUGUGUACAAAUCUUUUAUCAUGCAGAAUAUUAUGAUGACUUUCAAGGGAAUUGAAAGGCAUUGUACGUCACUGUAUUUCAUCCUGUAUGAGGCAUUCUGUCCUAGCGUGAAAGCAUUAAAGACAUGACAACUUGUAUGUUCAAGUUACGUGAGGAUAAUGAGCUCCAGCACAGUGAAGGUGGGAAAGAAAUUGAUUUCAGUCUAAUUAUGUGGCUGUAAUAUACAGUAUGUAUAUUAUGUGAUACAUUAUACAGUUGUUUAUAAUGUCUGGUAAUAGAACACGAUAUUAUUAAGUAACUGUAUUCACCAUUCCAUGCAGUCUGUGAAUGCUCUUCAGAGCAGUUGUUUAAAUUACAAAUAAUACCCUGACUUUUUCACAGUUUCAGUCAGACACUAGCAGUGCCUUUUCUAAACCUGCCUAGAUUUUACCCACUAUAGUUGAAAUUUAUUUUUUGUAUGAUAAUAUAAUACAAAAUAAAUCCUGGACUGACAUCUUUAUGUUUGUUUAACUGUCACCUCAAGAAGUUGACAAAAAACUUGUGAUCCUUGCUAUGAAAGACCAUUUAUAGUUUUCAGUAUAAGUAUACAUAAAUUGAAGUUUAUUGAAGUUUUACUCCAGCCAGAUAGGAGAAUCUGGUAAGAUUCCACCCGCAUUUUAUCAAUUCUGAAAUGUAACUUCUAUGCAGAAAAUUGUCAAUAAGGAAAACAACUGUAUAAAAUAAACCAAGCUUUAAUUACCAGGUUCUGCUUUUGGAAAAAUGUAAACAUUUGUAAUUAUGGGUGAUAAUAAUCCAAUAACGUGUUUUAUGAUGGUUUAGUGCCCAUACAGUACAACUUUAAAAUCUGUAUAUGCUGGCUGGCAAGUAUGCUGGCAUGUGGUCCGUAUUUUUGUAAACACUGGACACACAUAUUAUUAUAGUUGCCCUCUUAAUAUAUUUCAGCAUUUAUAUUCUUUGUGCUGCAGAGUUAAAACUUUCAUGUUUUUCUUAAAAGAUCAACAUUUUUUACAUCGAAAUGUGAUGGAUGCUUUGUAAAAUGUGUGACUUAAUAUUUUCUUUUUUUGCAGUUUGUCAGUUUACAAGUUGAUUUUUAAACAAGUUGGACACUAUACAUACAUCUUAUACAACCUAGAGGAAACACGUGCACCAUUCAGAUGUAUUUUUCCUUAAUAUCCAAGAUGUACAAAGGUCUAAAUUUUUGUUGUGAACAAAAAGGUUACUUACCUUCCAAAUCCCAAUGCAUUUUUAUAAAGUAAACUAAAGCAGAGUAUUUUUAGCUACUCUCUAGUUAGUAUUGAUAUAGAGAUCAGAUUACACUUUACCAUAAUUUAAUGUAAUUAUUGCAACUUUUGUUUGAAGUUCAUUUUAGACCUUUUGCUGACCAAACUGGAUAAUGUUAAUCUGUACAACAAUAAAGCAUACAUGAAGGGUAAAAUCUGCCCGGCCAAGGAACAAGCCCUCUUUAAACAAGUAUUUGUUAGUUUUAAUGCCCUGUAUGCUCAGUUUAGUUCAAUGGAAUGAUCACUUUUGAAAUAUUUUGAAUAAUUUUACAGAAAGUAUACUUUUGAUGCGUAUUUUUCCUUGAUAAACAUGCACUUUCUAAUGCAUUAUUCGGGAGCUGAAAAGAAGUGAGUGGUCCACUACAAGCUGGUAAACUAUAAAACUGUAUACUACUAGAGAAGUAGGACAAAAAAAAGGAGAAUGUCAAAAAUAUUUUUUUCAACUUUGAAAUCAUCUUUCUAAAAAAAUCAAAUGGUUUGCUAGUAAUUUAUAUGCUAAAAUUGCAAAAACAAUAGGAAAAUUUGUAUACAUACAAACAUGUUAGUGCUUAGUAGUAAUAAAUAAAUCAAAUCUUGUUACUUACAUAAAAUUAUGGUAAACAUUACAAAUAAUGUACCGUGUUCUUAAAAUUGUGUUGAACUUAAUGACCAAAGUUAGUACUGUUCACAUUCAUGCUCCUGUAUAGCUGCUUUAUUUUCUAGAGAUGCCUAAAUACUUUGUCUGUAUGCCAACAAAGCAGAGGUUUAUUUUUGUACUUCAUUGUCUCAUCCAGAUAUGUAGAUCUGCUAACUGCAUUGAAUUGAAUUUUUUGAUUAAGGUGAGUGAUUGUUCAAGAUAAGAUCUGUACUUUUGCUGGAAUAUAUUAAGUCUUGAAGUGAUGUUAAAAAGUGACCCAUAUUAGUCAAAGAUUUUGUUUUAUUUUUUUAUUCCAUUUAUUUAAUCUUAUAAUUAAUAUAUUAAAUGUUUCAAGCAUGUCAUGAAAUAAUUUAUACACUAUUAAUGUUUUUGUUUAUAUUGAUACAUUAUUUUAAAUAAUAAGUGGAUAAUAUAUUUUAGCAUGCAGGUAUAUGGUACUGCUUAAUAUAUUAAUACAGAUUAUGUUCUUACUGGAUUUAGUUAGUUUACAUUUUUCAGUUUUGGUUAUGCACUUGUGAGCACUACCGCUGCUCUACAGCCUGGUUUGUUUCCCCAUUUGUUUCAGGGAGCGGGUGGGCUUCAUGAUUUCACUUAAAAUGCUGCUAUGUAGAUACAUGUUUGAGGCAGAAAAGGCGGAUUUUUUUUCAUUAACUUUUCAGCCAAAGUAGCAAUAAACAUUUAUACUGUGAAAUUGA